UCAGGCCUACUUAGGGGUACCAUUUUCCAUGUACUCCGGCAUAGUUACUCAAGGUUCCUGGACUUCGGGUUCAGUCGAGCAGUCCAAGGAAAGCGUUUCUUAUCAGUUGGAUAUGUUGCAGUAGUUGGUGGAAUAGCGUGCGCACGUGGUCUUCUUUUUGUAUAUAUAUUUUGCAGCUAUGUGACUCUUCCGUGCAGUUUUUUAUUUUGUUUUUUUUUUUUUUUUUAACCAGGUGUUGACCUUGCGGCCCACCACCUAGGCCCGGCGCCAGCCUUUGUCUGUACCUUCUUACGGGCCCUGGACACGCCUCCCCCUCCCCGCGAGUCGAACCGGUCACCUCCCCUCCCCAAGGAGGAUACCACUGGACUACGAGG
This 374-nucleotide long non-coding RNA is filed under the name Brassica napus (rape). RNAcentral describes it as "long non-coding RNA (BNAP_LNC018807)". The record is from RNAcentral. Lineage: Eukaryota; Viridiplantae; Streptophyta; Magnoliopsida; Brassicales; Brassicaceae.